This 667-nucleotide long non-coding RNA is filed under the name Nicotiana benthamiana. RNAcentral describes it as "long non-coding RNA (NBEN_LNC005958)". The record is from RNAcentral. Lineage: Eukaryota; Viridiplantae; Streptophyta; Magnoliopsida; Solanales; Solanaceae.
UAUUCAUAUUAACAGCCAUGAAUAAUGAACAAGCUUAACAACACAGAAAUAGUCUCAAUGAAUAGACCACAAUCAAACCAGAACUGGCAUGAAACAUGUACGACACUUAGAACAGAGAAAGUGUUACCCUCCUUCUUCGCGACCGGAGAAGAACGGCCUUCAACCACCGGAUGAAACUAAGUCCGGUCACCGGAGAUUGCAAAACGGAAACUUACCAGAAUAAGGUUACAGACGUCGGAAGCUUACCCAAAACGUCUAUCGACCGAAGGCAAAAUCAUCGGAUAACAUCAAAACCCCUGGUCCGAAAGUCGGAAAACCCUAGAAUUUGGAGAACUCAUCGGAAUAAGACCAGAGAUGUCGGAAAAUCACCCAAAACAUCUACUGAUACAUGAUCGGAGCCUCAAACAGUCAGAAAAGUCUCGAUUAUCCGAUUAACAUUCAUCGAAAAAUAUAUGAAUAGUAUUUUUCUCAGAUAACCGAAGAAAAACUUCAGCAAAAGCUUCAGCAAGUAUCGAUAACACAUAACAAAGAAGGAUCGGAAAAUUUUCCUGCUCUGAUACUAUGAAAACAUGGAGAUUUGAAGAUGAAAACCAGAGAAGAUGAAGAUGAACAGGAAGAGACAGAGAGAGAGAAAUGAGAAGCUUCUGGAGGAACCGAGAAGCCAAAC